UAGGGAAUCUUCCGCAAUGGACGCAAGUUUGACGGAGCAACGCCGCGUGAGUGAAGAAGGAUUUCGGUUCGUAAAACUCUGUUGUUAGAGAAGAACAGCGCAUAGAGUAACUGUUAUGCGUGUGACGGUAUCUAACCAGAAAGCCACGGCUAACUACGUGCCAGCAGCCGCGGUAAUACGUAGGUGGCAAGCGUUGUCCGGAUUUAUUGGGCGUAAAGCGAGCGCAGGCGGUCAAUUAAGUCUGAUGUGAAAGCCCCCGGCUCAACCGGGGAGGGUCAUUGGAAACUGGUUGACUUGAGUGCAGAAGAGGAGAGUGGAAUUCCAUGUGUAGCGGUGAAAUGCGUAGAUAUAUGGAGGAACACCAGUGGCGAAGGCGACUCUCUGGUCUGUAACUGACGCUGAGGCUCGAAAGCGUGGGUAGCAAACAGG
Molecule: ribosomal RNA, 429 nt
Filed under: Bacteroidota bacterium
Lineage: Bacteria; Pseudomonadati; Bacteroidota
Description: Bacteroidetes bacterium partial 16S ribosomal RNA
Rfam family: Bacterial small subunit ribosomal RNA
Source: RNAcentral